This 492-nucleotide ribosomal RNA is filed under the name uncultured bacterium. Its description in RNAcentral is "partial 16S ribosomal RNA". It matches the Rfam family "Bacterial small subunit ribosomal RNA", at positions 29 to 507 of the family's 1533-position model. The record is from RNAcentral.
AGUGAACGCUGGCGGUAGGCCUAACACAUGCAAGUCGAACGGCAGCACAGUAAGAGCUUGCUCUUACGGGUGGCGAGUGGCAGACGGGUGAGGAAUACAUCGGAAUCUACUUUUUCGUGGGGGAUAACGUAGGGAAACUUACGCUAAUACCGCAUACGACCUACGGGUGAAAGCAGGGGAUCUUCGGACCUUGCGCGAUUGAAUGAGCCGAUGUCGGAUUAGCUAGUUGGCGGGGUAAAGGCCCACCAAGGCGACGAUCCGUAGCUGGUCUGAGAGGGUGAUCAGCCACACUGGAACUGAGACACGGUCCAGACUCCUACGGGAGGCAGCAGUGGGGAAUAUUGGACAAUGGGCGCAAGCCUGAUCCAGCCAUACCGCGUGGGUGAAGAAGGCCUUCGGGUUGUAAAGCCCUUUUGUUGGGAAAGAAAAGCAGCAGGUUAAUACCCCGCUGUUCUGACGGUACCCAAAGAAUAAGCACCGGCUAACUUCGUG